This 709-nucleotide ribosomal RNA is filed under the name uncultured bacterium. Its description in RNAcentral is "partial 16S ribosomal RNA". It matches the Rfam family "Bacterial small subunit ribosomal RNA", at positions 338 to 1048 of the family's 1533-position model. The record is from RNAcentral.
CCUACGGGGGGCAGCAGUAAGGAAUAUUGGUCAAUGGACGCAAGUCUGAACCAGCCAUGCCGCGUGAAGGAUGAAGGCCCUCUGGGUUGUAAACUUCUUUUAUCUGGGACGAAAAAAGGGGAUUCUUCCUCACUUGACGGUACCAGAGGAAUAAGCACCGGCUAACUCCGUGCCAGCAGCCGCGGUAAUACGGAGGGUGCAAGCGUUAUCCGGAUUUACUGGGUUUAAAGGGUGCGUAGGUGGGUAGGUAAGUCAGUGGUGAAAUCUUCAAGCUUAACUUGGAAACUGCCAUUGAUACUAUUUAUCUUGAAUACUUUGGAGGUAAGCGGAAUAUGUCAUGUAGCGGUGAAAUGCUUAGAUAUGACAUAGAACACCAAUUGCGAAGGCAGCUUACUACACAGUUAUUGACACUGAGGCACGAAAGCGUGGGGAUCAAACAGGAUUAGAUACCCUGGUAGUCCACGCCCUAAACGAUGGAUACUCGACAUUAGCGAUACACAGUUAGUGUCUGAGCGAAAGCAUUAAGUAUCCCACCUGGGAAGUACGACCGCAAGGUUGAAACUCAAAUGAAUUGACGGGGGUCCGCNCAGCGGGGGANCCAUGNGGUUUAAUUCGAUGAUACCNGAGGANCCUUACNUGGGCUAAAAUGCGGUUUGACCNUAGGNNAAACNUUUUUUNUAACNAUANCNNAANUCNNANGGGCUCNUGG